This is a non-coding RNA of Cricetulus griseus (Chinese hamster), 703 nucleotides long. The record is from RefSeq and is a predicted model, not a curated record. Lineage: Eukaryota; Metazoa; Chordata; Mammalia; Rodentia; Cricetidae.
CUGCUUUCUACUCCAGCCUCCUCCACCGCCAUCCUCCUUUUCGUCAUCCCCAAGAUCCAGGAAGAUGCUGGUGUCAGCCGAGAUGUGCUGUUUUUGCUUCGAUGUGCUCUCCUGUCACCUGUAUGGACACCAGCAGCCCCGGACCCCCGGCUUCGCCAACGAGCCCUACCCACUGUUUGUGACAUGGAAGUUUGGUCAAGACGAAAGAUCGCGCGGAUGCCUAGGGACUCUUUCUGCCGUGACUUUGCAUUCCCGACGCAGGGAGAACACACUUAUCAGCGCCCUUAAAGACCCCCGUUUUCCACCACUGACAAGGGACGAGCUGCCUCGGCUUCUCUGCUCCGUGUCUCUGCUCACUGACUUUGAGGACAUUUGUGACGAUUUGGACUGGGAACUGGGUGUGCAUGGCAUUCGAAUAGAAUUCAUCAACGAAGAAGCAUCCAGAUGCACCGCCACCUACCUACCGGAGGUCGCAAAGGAGCAAGGAUGGGACCGGACUCAGACCAUAGACUCCUUACCAAGGAAGGGAGGCUACAAGGCUCUGGUUACUAACGAAUACAGGAAAACCGUCAAGCUGACCAGGUACCGUAGAGAAAAGAUGACCUUGAGUUAUGCUGAAUACCUUGCUCGUCGCCAGCAUCAUUGCUUCCAGAAUGGCAUCGGGCAGCCCCUGCCACCAAACAACCAUUAUUCUUGGUGCUGA